Molecule: ribosomal RNA, 592 nt
Filed under: uncultured bacterium
Lineage: Bacteria
Description: bacterial SSU rRNA
Rfam family: Bacterial small subunit ribosomal RNA
Source: RNAcentral
AAUCAACGCUGGCGGCAUGCCUAACACAUGCAAGUCGAACGAGAAAGGGUAGCAAUACCUGAGUAAAGUGGCGCACGGGUGAGUAACACGUGACUAACCUACCUCCGAGUUCGGAAUAACUUCGGGAAACCGAGGCUAAUACCGGAUGAUGUCUAUGGACCAAAGGGGCAACUCGCUUGGAGAGGGGGUCGCGGCUGAUUAGCUAGUUGGUGAGGUAAUGGCUCACCAAGGCAAUGAUCAGUAUCCGGCCUGAGAGGGCGCACGGACACACUGGAACUGAAACACGGUCCAGACUCCUACGGGAGGCAGCAGUGGGGAAUUUUGCACAAUGGGGGAAACCCUGAUGCAGCAAUGCCGCGUGGAGGAUGAAGUUCUUUGGAACGUAAACUCCUUUCGAUCGGGACGAUUAUGACGGUACCGGAAGAAGGAGCCCCGGCUAACUCUGUGCCAGCAGCCGCGGUAAUACAGAGGGGGCAAGCGUUGUUCGGAAUUAUUGGGCGUAAAGGGUGCGUAGGCGGUGCGGUAAGUCUUUUGUGAAAUCUCCGGGCUCAACUCGGAGCCUGCAAAGGAUACUGUCGUGCUUGAGUAUGGG